CAAGGAUGGAGUGAAAUACAAGGUGAGGAAAUUAAAGUUGAGAGACACUAAGCAACUGCCCCAGGCUUCCAUGGCAGAAUGAGGAUUCAGGUCGAGCCUGUCUAACUGUUAACCCCAUCCCUUUCCAUCACAUUUUUAUGCCUACCUAGCAUGGGCCUGGUUGGCAGGGCUCUUGAAGUAGAGCUUCUCAAAUGCAACUGCACCUGUGCAUCUUGCUAAGAUGUGGAUUCUGAUGCAGGACUUCUGGGUGGGGGCUGAGACUCCAUUUCUAACAAGUCCCCAAGUCAUUCCAAUGCUGCUGGCCUGCAAAGCACAAUGUGAGAAGCAGGAGUUCAGCCCCCGCCCCCCUCAUUUUGCAGCAGAAGAAAUUGAGGUUGUUGAAGUCAAGUGACUUACUUCAAGUGGCAUGGCACGUUAGUGGAAGAGGCAGGAUACAGACAUGGGAAUGCUAAUUUCCAGUCCAGAGCCUUGCCUUUACCAUGUGUGUCAGUUACUAGGCUAUUGUCUCUUUGCUCCAACCCCAUCCUUCCGCACUUAGCUUUGGAUGCUGGGGUUGUGCUAUGGACUGAAUAUUUGUGUCCCUCCCCAAAUCCAUGUGUUGAAGCCUAAUCCUCAGUGGGAUGGAAUUAGGAGGUGGGGAAGUAAUUAGGUCAGGAGAGUGGAGCCCUCAUAAGUGGGAUUAGUGCCUUCAUAAGAGACAAGAGACAGCUUGCAUCCUCGUGCUCUGCAAUCCACUGUAUGAGCGUAGAAUGAGAAGACAGCUGUCUGCAAAGAAGAGUGUCCUCAUCAGACUCUAGAUCAGCUGGCACCUUGAUCUUGG
RNAcentral lists this long non-coding RNA (820 nucleotides) under Homo sapiens (human). Its description in RNAcentral is "HSALNT0007098". Lineage: Eukaryota; Metazoa; Chordata; Mammalia; Primates; Hominidae. The record is from RNAcentral.